UAGGGAAUCUUCGGCAAUGGGGCAACCCUGACCGAGCAACGCCGCGUGAGUGAAGAAGGUUUUCGGAUCGUAAAGCUCUGUUGUAAGUCAAGAACGAGUGUGAGAGUGGAAAGUUCACACUGUGACGGUAGCUUACCAGAAAGGGACGGCUAACUACGUGCCAGCAGCCGCGGUAAUACGUAGGUCCCGAGCGUUGUCCGGAUUUAUUGGGCGUAAAGCGAGCGCAGGCGGUUUGAUAAGUCUGAAGUUAAAGGCUGUGGCUCAACCAUAGUUCGCUUUGGAAACUGUCAAACUUGAGUGCAGAAGGGGAGAGUGGAAUUCCAUGUGUAGCGGUGAAAUGCGUAGAUAUAUGGAGGAACACCGGUGGCGAAAGCGGCUCUCUGGUCUGUAACUGACGCUGAGGCUCGAAAGCGUGGGGAGCGAACAGGAUUAGAUACCCUGGUAGUCCACGCCGUAACGAUGAGUGCUAGGUGUUGGAUCCUUUCCGGGAUUCAGUGCCGCAGCUAACGCAUUAAGCACUCCGCCUGGGGAGUACGACCGCAAGGUU
Molecule: ribosomal RNA, 547 nt
Filed under: uncultured bacterium
Lineage: Bacteria
Description: bacterial SSU rRNA
Rfam family: Bacterial small subunit ribosomal RNA
Source: RNAcentral